UCUUCCCUGGGAGUCAUUGACACAUCGGAUGAUUUAUCGGUCACCGCCGUCCGAUGCGAGCGACUGGUGAGACCGGCCCAUGAACUU
RNAcentral lists this non-coding RNA (87 nucleotides) under unclassified sequences. Its description in RNAcentral is "c-di-GMP sequence". It matches the Rfam family "c-di-GMP-II-GAG riboswitch aptamer". The record is from Rfam by way of RNAcentral.